RNAcentral lists this ribosomal RNA (366 nucleotides) under uncultured bacterium. Its description in RNAcentral is "bacterial SSU rRNA". It matches the Rfam family "Bacterial small subunit ribosomal RNA", at positions 111 to 485 of the family's 1533-position model. The record is from RNAcentral.
UAACACGUAGAUACCAACCCCUUUCACGAGCAUAAUCCGCCGAAAGGCGGACUAAUUCCCGACGGUCCCUUACGGGUAAAGCCCUGACGUUACGUCAGGGCGGAAAGGGAUGGGUCUGCGGCCUAUCAGCUAGUUGGUGAGGUAAUGGCCCACCAAGGCGAUGACGGGUAGGGGGUGUGAGAACACGGCCCCCAAGAAUGGUACUGCGACACGGACCAUACUCCUACGGGAGGCUGCAGUCGAGAAUCUUCGACAAUGGGCGAAAGCCUGAUCGAGCGACGCCGCGUGAGCGAAGAAGGACUUCGGUCUGUAAAGCUCUUUUCUAGGGGAUGAAUCCGCCGCAAGGCGGAUGACAGUACCCUAGGA